AGCCAUCUUACUGCCCUCAUUGAAGCUAUUUUUGCUGACAAUUAUUAAAGCAACAGCAUUAUUAUCCUGGCUUUCUGACCCCGGGACGUCCGCUAUGGGAGUGUCUCGAGCCUCUCUCUCCAGUGGUAAAAUCUCCAACGUGAUUUUAAUUAACUUCUCAAGGCCAACCUGUUAAUCAGGAGAAAGCAGAUAUGAAAAGUGGGACACCUGCCUCCCUGUGUGCUCGAAAUCGCCAGGCACCUGCCUUCCUGCCAAGCCCUGGGUCUGCAGGAAGAAGUCGAUGGCCUUUUCCAGCAGAGAAGAGCAGGGCUCAAAAAUCCAUCUGCCUAACAGAUGCUUCUGAACGAAAACUCUGGGACCGGGACACGGAAAUCUCAAAUUGUUUGAUCACCUCCUCGUCACUGUCAGAAGAUGUGCAUGGCUCUUCAUCAUCUCCAAAGCUGUUAACUGGGAGCAAACAAGAGCCAUGAGUUUCAUGUGGGGCUCACAAUAAUAUAGAGAUAGAUAAUCUGGAGAAAUAGAAGAACAUGGAUGAGGAGUCUGGAUAAAGUAAGCCCACACCAGACAGAUUUUAAAACAAUUAUUAAAACAAAAAUUUGAGCCCAAAGGAAUAAAACAGGAAAAGAAAGCUUAUGAGGGCAAGUAGAAAUAUAUGGCUAGAACCUGGGAGAAACAUUGGGACACUCCUAACUGACGUAAUAAGAUGUUGAGCAGGGAGGCCCUGCUGAUGUGUUGUGUUGCUGACAUGCUUAUAACUAGGAACAGGACAUUUGACUUAACAUUCAUUCUAGUCAAUGAUGAUAGAAAAUAUGCUCUUAGCCUCGUCUUUAUUAUUAAAACACAAAGAGCUAAGCCCCACUCAGAGCAGACCCGCUUGCAACUGAGAUCUUGCAAAAGUAUCCCAGUUUUGAAGAGACACCCAUAGUAGUGUAUGUAACAUAAACAAAACAAAACUAGCUUGUAUGAUUGUGUUCUGGUGCCUUUCUCAGCACCAACAACCCAACCCAAAUACCUUUUGAAUUACGUGUACCACUUUCCCCACAUCAACCCACUCGUCCUUUCUAUUUCUCCAAUAAGCCAAGAUGGCUCUGCCCUUUGAGUUCUUUGCCUUUGAUGUUCCUUCUACCUGGAACCCUCCUGCCUGGUAUUUACCUGGCUGGCUCCUCUCACCACUGAGGUGUCAGCUCCACUAAUUGCCCCACCUGAAGCAAUUCUCUUUAUUUCUCUCUUCUCCCUCAUGACUUUCAUGAAAAUAAAACAUCACUUGUUCUGUUA
Molecule: long non-coding RNA, 1275 nt
Organism: Suricata suricatta (meerkat)
Lineage: Eukaryota; Metazoa; Chordata; Mammalia; Carnivora; Herpestidae
Exons: 4
Source: RefSeq, a predicted model, not a curated record